UUAUGAUUUCGAGCAAGCCGCUAUGGUGAAAUCGGUAGACACGCUGCUCUUAGGAAGCAGUGCUAGAGCAUCUCGGUUCGA
This 81-nucleotide transfer RNA is filed under the name Brachystegia angustistipulata. RNAcentral's name for it is "tRNA-Leu". Lineage: Eukaryota; Viridiplantae; Streptophyta; Magnoliopsida; Fabales; Fabaceae. The record is from RNAcentral.